UAUUGGACAAUGGGGGGAACCCUGAUCCAGCCAUGCCGCGUGGAGGAAGACUGCCCUCUGGGUUGUAAACUCCUUUUAUAUGGGAAGAACCGUCCUCAUUGAUGAGUGACCUGACGGUACCAUAGGAAUAAGCACCGGCUAACUCCGUGCCAGCAGCCGCGGUAAUACGGAGGGUGCAAGCGUUAAUCGGAAUUACUGGGCGUAAAGCGUGCGCAGGCGGUUUUGUAAGACAGAGGUGAAAUCCCCGGGCUCAACCUGGGAACUGCCUUUGUGACUGCAAAGCUGGAGUGCGGCAGAGGGUGAUGGAAUUCCGCGUGUAGCAGUGAAAUGCGUAGAUAUGCGGAGGAACACCGAUGGCGAAGGCAAUCCCCUGGGCCUGCACUGACGCUCAUGCACGAAAGCGUGGGGAGCAAACA
Molecule: ribosomal RNA, 416 nt
Filed under: uncultured bacterium
Lineage: Bacteria
Description: bacterial SSU rRNA
Rfam family: Bacterial small subunit ribosomal RNA
Source: RNAcentral